UUGGAAGUAACAAAUCGUAACAAGGUCUCCGUUGGUGAACCAGCGGAGGGAUCAUUACCGAGUUUACAACUCCCAAACCCCUGUGAACAUACCUAUACGUUGCCUCGGCGGAUCAGCCCGCGCCCCGUAAAAAGGGACGGCCCGCCCGAGGACCCCUAAACUCUGUUUUUAGUGGAACUUCUGAGUAAAACAAACAAAUAAAUCAAAACUUUCAACAACGGAUCUCUUGGUUCUGGCAUCGAUGAAGAACGCAGCAAAAUGCGAUAAGUAAUGUGAAUUGCAGAAUUCAGUGAAUCAUCGAAUCUUUGAACGCACAUUGCGCCCGCCAGUAUUCUGGCGGGCAUGCCUGUUCGAGCGUCAUUUCAACCCUCAAGCUCAGCUUGGUGUUGGGACUCGCGGUAACCCGCGUUCCCCAAAUCGAUUGGCGGUCACGUCGAGCUUCCAUAGCGUAGUAAUCAUACACCUCGUUACUGGUAAUCGUCGCGGCCACGCCGUAAAACCCCAACUUCUGAAUGUUGACCUCGGAUCAGGUAGGAAUACCCGCUGAACUUAAGCAUAUCU
RNAcentral lists this ribosomal RNA (561 nucleotides) under Fusarium equiseti. Its description in RNAcentral is "eukaryotic LSU rRNA". The stretch from base 207 to 360 matches the Rfam family "5.8S ribosomal RNA". The record is from RNAcentral. Lineage: Eukaryota; Fungi; Ascomycota; Sordariomycetes; Hypocreales; Nectriaceae.